ACCAAUUCCGGACACAAUCUCAGCACUGUGGGAGACUGAGGCACCUGCCAAACCUGCACAGAUUCCUACAGCAGCCAGUUCGCUCUGUCUCGAGGCUUCAGAGGAACACGAACUUCUCUGAUGGAAGAGCCUUGUUCUAGAAGGGAGUGAAGCCUAGGUCUUUCCUGAGCACACAGAAGAUCAAGACCACACUCACUGACUUCUCAUAGUCAAGCAAUUUUGGCCAAUUAAAUGUCAGUUGGAAACUCCUGUGUCAGCUUCUCUGUGGCGGUGAGAAGUCCCUGUGUGACAUCCCAACUCUCCCCUCACCUGCGUUGGCAACCAAGAAAGCCUUGUGUUGGAGGUGGGGCCACAAGUUUAAAGCUAAGUUACCACCUCGAGGGCACAUUCCUGGAGAGCUUCCCAGGCCCACAGUGGCACGUGUAUGAGUGACAGAUCCACUUCUUUAUUACCUUUUUGAAGAACAGGAACCUUUGUCUGGAAAUUCCACAAGUAUGCCUUUUGCAAGAUUAAAAGUGCCACAAAGAACAAAAAUGAGCCCAGGACCAGAUGCAUGUUAAAAGCCAUCAGACACGUUAAGUUUCAUCUCCAUUGACCUGAGCCAGUUGGAGUGUGAGGCUUCAGAAUCGCCUUCCAACUCUCUGUGCACUGCACCAGCUGCUUCCCAUAGACUCCUGGUAAAAUAUUACCUAUGACUCCAGGAUUUGCCAGUGAAAGAAGUCAACAAUAUUUUAACUUUGAUCUUAACCAAAAGGCCAAGAAGUGAUGCUAAUAUUUUCAUAUACUACGACAGUUGCAGACACACGUCUAUCAUAGCUGGGUAGUAAUCCAGGCAACUCUGCCACAAGUCAUGGGCUCAGCCACCAGUCCACGAAGUCUCCAGUCACACAUAUUGCUUCGGACUAUUCUCUAUCCCCAGUUGUCAAUUAACUAAAAUAUUAAAUGAGGAUGCCAUGGAGUCCCCCAACUGAUUUCAUAAAUUUGGUGUCACAUUGUAAAUCAAGCAGCUGCAGAGUGGCUGGGACAUCUGUUUGGUUCUGUUAUUCUCUUUACUCCAAAAGGAAACUAACUCCAAAAGAAGAAAACCUGAUGUCUGAGCUGAAUCCUAAUCAUGAAGAUGUUUUUCCACCAUUCCUGUCUGUGUUUUUCUACCAUUCCUGUCUGUGUUUUUCUACCAAAGUGUGCUCUUGAAGUUCUGCAUUUCCCAGGGUGUGGUGAAAGAAGAGAAAAAAAUGUCCAAGAUGACUUCAACGUUCUGACCUUGAGUGGCUUGAGUGAAUGGAGUUACAACUGUGCAGAAAGAUUCAGUAGAGAGUUUUGGAUUUAUGCACCAGUAAGGGGAAAACUGAACAGCUGCAGAGAGCUGUAACUUUUAUAGGAGAUUAAUCUAUAAGAGAAGACAGCAAACUACAGCCUGUGUGUCAAAUCCUACUUGCCACGUCCACUGAAAGCUAACUACACUGGAACACUCUCAUUUCUGCAAAGAAAAAUAUCAUAUCCCAGGAUGAAAAGGAGGAGGAAGAGGAAAGGCUAACUUAACAAGAAGCUCUUUGACAUUCUUGAAUUAGACACCCAACGUAGUCCACGCAGUACGGAGGAUGACUUCAGAAGUGCAAUUCUGAUAUGGACUUUGUCUCCCUAAGGCUUUCAGUUCCUCAUAUUUAGGAUAAAACAGAAGUUUAUGUAAAGCCAAGGGAGAGGGUCACCGGGAGAGGGAAGGAGGAACAGCAGAAGGAGAGGUCCACACAUGAAAAUACUUGGAAGCGCCCCAGGGCCUAUCAGAUGCAGGUCUUGGCGGAAAUUACCAAACAUACUUUAGACAGGCUGCUGUGUUGCUGAGUGUGGACUGGCCUCAGGGCCUGCUGAUCAAAGCAAAAGGAAGCAGUGAAAAAAACAUCACCAUGUCUUCUUAGAGUCUAAUCUGGGGGCAAGAGGCCAGCAUGCACAGUUGGUGCUGAUUUUCUUGGGCGGAUAGAGGAAAGGUGUAGGCGUGGCCAACAUUUGAGCAGCAUGUGGUUCCUCUCACACGCCAUGCUGUUUCCGGCCUCCUUGCAUUUUACUCAUGCCAUCCUCCUGGUCACUUCUUUGAGAUAUUAAGUGCAUUCUUUAGGACUCAGACUCAGCUCAAGGGUCAGUGCAUCCAUGAAGCCUUACCUGGAUCCCAGAGGGAGCUCUGUGCUCCUCCUUUGUCUCCUAUAGGACCCAGUACAUGCGUCCAGUAUUAUCCAUACACACUGAAAUGAUCUAGCAUGUGUCUUCCCAUAGGAUUUCAAAUUCUUAGAAUAUAGGAGUGAUGCCUUCUUCCUACUUAUAUUUCCAGUGUUAACAGUGCCUGUCAAUUGACUUGAAGAUAACUAAAAGUCUGGUUGUUAAGGGCUGCUUCCCACCUCCAAAUACUUCCCUGGAAGUCAUUGUAUGGGCACUGACAUUGGUAGGUCUCCACUGGCUUGUAGAUGCUUCUGAUUAUAAGGUAGUCUCAGAUGCCUUCAGAAAGUUCUAAGACUGUAUAAAACAUUUCCUUCACAACCAAUAACUGUGUAUUAUUGUUCGUGUAAUUCCAGAAGUUAUCCUUUUGAUAGAGAGCAAUUACUUUAUUGAUUGAGAGUUAGCUAAUUAUGUAAUAAAGGUAAAGAUUUGCAUAGAGAAGUGUAAGAGACAUGGAGAAGAUUCUUGGUGGGUGGUGAGGGCGGGUACAUUUACACCAGACCAAGACUGAUCUGGCUGUGGCGCUGGAGAUUAAACUGUUUAAAUAUGGGAUCCUAAGAAGACUUCUGUGCAUUCUAGACUUCAAGAGACAGAUUGCAUUUUUUUUUAGGAAAUGUAGAUAAAACCCUUUGACUGAAUGACUCUAGAAAAUAAUACUGAUUUGAGAGAGAAAGGAAAUUCUAAAACAAAAUCCUGACAGCAGAGGCAUGAAUGAUCCUCAUGAGGAAGAAAUGAGACUCUGCUUAACUACACUGUAGAUUUUGGUGUGGAAGAAGAUGGAAGGUGGGUAUAUAGCCAAAUUUUGAAUACAAUAGGGCAGCACAAAACUGUGACAACAGUGGCAGAAGGACUGAAGUACAGAAUGUGUGAAAGUUGUUGUGAAAUAAAUAGAGAGCAACAGAAAAGGACUAUUUGGGCUGGGCAAUGGUAAUCCCAGAACUUUGGGAGGCUGAGUCAGGUGGAUCACCUGAGGUCAGGAGCUCAAGA
Molecule: long non-coding RNA, 3192 nt
Filed under: Homo sapiens (human)
Lineage: Eukaryota; Metazoa; Chordata; Mammalia; Primates; Hominidae
Description: HSALNT0353177
Source: RNAcentral